Molecule: ribosomal RNA, 253 nt
Filed under: uncultured bacterium
Lineage: Bacteria
Description: partial 16S ribosomal RNA
Rfam family: Bacterial small subunit ribosomal RNA
Source: RNAcentral
UACGUAGGGGGCAAGCGUUGUCCGGAAUCAUUGGGCGUAAAGCGCGUGUAGGCGGCUAGGUAAGUCUGCUCUGAAAGCCCGGGGCUCAACCCCGGGAGGCGGGUGGAUACUGUCUAGCUCGAGUCCGGAAGAGGAGUGUGGAAUUCCUGGUGUAGCGGUGAAAUGCGCAGAUAUCAGGAGGAACACCGGUGGCGAAGGCGGUUCUCUGGGCCUGUACUGACGCUGAGGAGCGAAAGCGUGGGGAGCGAACAGG